GCGGAGUCAGCCACUCACCCACGCGCCGCUCGAUUUCCUGGAUUUAGUGAGUGGUCUUUGUUGGAGCUGAAAGGCUGCAGCUGGGGUGGAGGACACAAGUUCACCAGGGGUUAUUUAGCUCCAGACAGUCUUCAUAAAAGCACAACAGCUGUCCAGGAAGACACCCAAACUCUCCAGCUUCUGUUCCCAGGAAACCCCACCUCAUGGAUACUGCCUUCUGCACCUGAGAGCUGGAAUGCCUGUCCCAAGCUGCUGGCAGGAGCACAAAGCUUGUGAGAGCUCCAUGAAUCCAAGCUCUACAUGAAGCUUAAGGGGGGCUUUAAGGCCUCCUUCCCUGGGAGUGAGGAGUUGGAGCAGACAGCUGUUCUCUUUCAUUUCAGAGUAAUCAACUAAAAACCAGUUCUGGA
This is a long non-coding RNA of Haemorhous mexicanus (house finch), 407 nucleotides long. RefSeq lists it as uncharacterized. The transcript has 2 exons. NCBI's taxonomy places the organism in Eukaryota, Metazoa, Chordata, Aves, Passeriformes, Fringillidae. The record is from RefSeq and is a predicted model, not a curated record.